RNAcentral lists this ribosomal RNA (81 nucleotides) under Pseudoalteromonas prydzensis. Its description in RNAcentral is "partial 16S ribosomal RNA". It matches the Rfam family "Bacterial small subunit ribosomal RNA", at positions 1 to 79 of the family's 1533-position model. Lineage: Bacteria; Pseudomonadati; Pseudomonadota; Gammaproteobacteria; Alteromonadales; Pseudoalteromonadaceae. The record is from RNAcentral.
UUUAAUUGAAGAGUUUGAUCAUGGCUCAGAUUGAACGCUGGCGGCAGGCCUAACACAUGCAAGUCGAGCGGUAACAGAGAG